This 844-nucleotide ribosomal RNA is filed under the name uncultured Bacteroidota bacterium. Its description in RNAcentral is "bacterial SSU rRNA". It matches the Rfam family "Bacterial small subunit ribosomal RNA", at positions 109 to 956 of the family's 1533-position model. Lineage: Bacteria; Pseudomonadati; Bacteroidota. The record is from RNAcentral.
AGUAACGCGUAUGCAAUCUACCUUUCACAGAGGGAUAGCCCAGAGAAAUUUGGAUUAAUACCUCAUAGUAUUAUGAAGUGGCAUCACUUUAUAAUUAAAGUCACAACGGUGAAAGAUGAGCAUGCGUCCCAUCAGCUAGUUGGUAAGGUAACGGCUUACCAAGGCUACGAUGGGUAGGGGUCCUGAGAGGGAGAUCCCCCACACUGGUACUGAGACACGGACCAGACUCCUACGGGAGGCAGCAGUGAGGAAUAUUGGUCAAUGGGCGCAAGCCUGAACCAGCCAUGCCGCGUGCAGGAUGACGGUCCUAUGGAUUGUAAACUGCUUUUGUACGGGAAGAAACACUCGAACGUGUUCGAGCUUGACGGUACCGUAAGAAUAAGGAUCGGCUAACUCCGUGCCAGCAGCCGCGGUAAUACGGAGGAUCCAAGCGUUAUCCGGAAUCAUUGGGUUUAAAGGGUCCGUAGGCGGUCUGGUAAGUCAGUGGUGAAAGCCCAUCGCUCAACGGUGGAACGGCCAUUGAUACUGCCAGACUUGAAUUUCCAGGAAGCAACUAGAAUAUGUAGUGUAGCGGUGAAAUGCUUAGAUAUUACAUGGAAUACCAAUUGCGAAGGCAGGUUGCUACUGGUGGAUUGACGCUGAUGGACGAAAGCGUGGGUAGCGAACAGGAUUAGAUACCCUGGUAGUCCACGCCGUAAACGAUGGAUACUAGCUGUUGGGCGCAAGUUCAGUGGCUAAGCGAAAGUGAUAAGUAUCCCACCUGGGGAGUACGAACGCAAGUUUGAAACUCAAAGGAAUUGACGGGGGCCCGCACAAGCGGUGGAGCAUGUGGUUUAAUUCGAUG